Molecule: ribosomal RNA, 254 nt
Filed under: uncultured bacterium
Lineage: Bacteria
Description: partial 16S ribosomal RNA
Rfam family: Bacterial small subunit ribosomal RNA
Source: RNAcentral
UACGAAGGGUGCAAGCGUUACUCGGAAUUACUGGGCGUAAAGCGUGCGUAGGCGGUUCGUUAAGUCUGUCGUGAAAGCCCUGGGCUCAACCUGGGAAUUGCGAUGGAUACUGGCGAGCUAGAGUACGGUAGAGGAUGGUGGAAUUCCCGUGGUAGCGAUGAAUGACGUAGAGUAUCGGAGGAAGACACCCGGUGGCGAAGGCGGGCCUCUGGCCAUACUGACGCUGAGGCACGAAAGCGUGGGGAGCAAACGGG